GAUGAACGCUAGCGGGAGGCUUAACACAUGCAAGUCGAGGGGUAAAUGGUAGCAAUACUAUGAGACCGGCGGACGGGUGCGUAACGCGUAUGCAACAUACCUUUAGCAGGGGGAUAGCCCGUGGAAACGCGGAUUAAUAUUCCAUAGUCCAGCAGUAUCGCAUGGUAUCACUGGUAAAGAUUAAUCGGCUAAAGAUUGGCAUGCGUCUGAUUAGUUAGUUGGUAGGGUAAUGGCCUACCAAGGCGACGAUCAGUAGGGGUUCUGAGAGGAUUACCCCCCACACUGGUACUGAGACACGGACCAGACUCCUACGGGAGGCAGCAGUGAGGAAUAUUGGUCAAUGGGCGGAAGCCUGAACCAGCCAUCCCGCGUGAAGGAAGACAGCCUUACGGGUUGUAAACUUCUUUUCUGUUUGAAGAAUAAGCCCGUUGAGACGGGUGAUGCCGGUAGGACAGGAAUAAGCAUCGGCUAACUCCGUGCCAGCAGCCGCGGUAAAAGUCACGUCGC
RNAcentral lists this ribosomal RNA (507 nucleotides) under uncultured bacterium. Its description in RNAcentral is "bacterial SSU rRNA". It matches the Rfam family "Bacterial small subunit ribosomal RNA", at positions 28 to 535 of the family's 1533-position model. The record is from RNAcentral.